Molecule: ribosomal RNA, 499 nt
Filed under: uncultured Glomeromycotina
Lineage: Eukaryota; Fungi; Glomeromycota
Description: partial small subunit ribosomal RNA
Rfam family: Eukaryotic small subunit ribosomal RNA
Source: RNAcentral
CCAAUAGCGUAUAUUAAAGUUGUUGCAGUUAAAAAGCUCGUAGUUGAAUUUCGGGAUCAAAUUGUCGGUCGUGCCUCGGUACGCACUGGUAUUAUUGGUUCCUACCUUCUGAAGAACCGCGAUGUCAUUAAUUUGGUGUCGUGGGGAAUCAGGACUGUUACUUUGAAAAAAUUAGAGUGUUUAAAGCAGGCUUACGCUUGAAUACAUUAGCAUGGAAUAAUGAAAUAGGACGUUUGAUUCUAUUUUGUUGGUUUCUAGGAUUGACGUAAUGAUUAAUAGGAAUAGUUGGGGGCAUUAGUAUUCAAUUGUCAGAGGUGAAAUUCUUGGAUUUAUUGGAGACUAACUACUGAGAAAGCAUUUGCCAAGGAUGUUUUCAUUAUUCAAUAACGAAAGUUAGGGGAUCGAAGACGAUCAGAUACCGUCGUAGUCUUAACCAUAAACUAUGCCGACUAGGGAUCGGAUGAUGUUAAUUUUUUAAUGACUCAUUCGGCGCCUUACG